This 157-nucleotide microRNA precursor is filed under the name Pelobates cultripes (western spadefoot toad). Lineage: Eukaryota; Metazoa; Chordata; Amphibia; Anura; Pelobatidae. The record is from RNAcentral.
GCAGACACAUUCCAGCCAAUCAGCAGCAGACCCUCCCUCCCAGACCCUUCCACCUCCUGGACAGCAUCCAUUGUGAAGCUGCAUUCUUAGUGAGCUGUCCAGGAGGUGGGAGGGUCUGGGAGGGAGGGUCUGCUGCUGAUUGUCUGGAAUGUGUCUG